This 760-nucleotide ribosomal RNA is filed under the name uncultured Prevotella sp. RNAcentral describes it as "bacterial SSU rRNA". It matches the Rfam family "Bacterial small subunit ribosomal RNA", at positions 28 to 776 of the family's 1533-position model. Lineage: Bacteria; Pseudomonadati; Bacteroidota; Bacteroidia; Bacteroidales; Prevotellaceae. The record is from RNAcentral.
GAUGAACGCUGGCUACAGGCUUAACACAUGCAAGUCGAGGGGAAACGACGGGGAAGCUUGCUUCCCCGGGCGUCGACCGGCGCACGGGUGAGUAACGCGUAUCCAACCUGCCUCUGACUGAGGGAUAACCCGUCGAAAGUCGGCCUAAUACCUCAUGGCAUCGUCUGCGGGCAUCCAACGACGAUUAAAGAUUUCAUCGGUCAGGGAUGGGGAUGCGUCUGAUUAGCUUGUUGGCGGGGUAACGGCCCACCAAGGCUACGAUCAGUAGGGGUUCCGAGAGGAAGGUCCCCCACAUUGGAACUGAGACACGGUCCAAACUCCUACGGGAGGCAGCAGUGAGGAAUAUUGGUCAAUGGGCGAGAGCCUGAACCAGCCAAGUAGCGUGCAGGAUGACGGCCCUAUGGGUUGUAAACUGCUUUUAUGCGGGGAUAAAGUGAGGGACGUGUCCUUCAUUGCAGGUACCGCAUGAAUAAGGACCGGCUAAUUCCGUGCCAGCAGCCGCGGUAAUACGGAAGGUCCUGGCGUUAUCCGGAUUUAUUGGGUUUAAAGGGAGCGUAGGCCGUGGAUUAAGCGUGUUGUGAAAUGCAGGUGCUCAACGUCUGCACUGCAGCGCGAACUGGUCCACUUGAGUGUGCGCAACGCAGGCGGAAUUCGUCGUGUAGCGGUGAAAUGCUUAGAUAUGACGAAGAACUCCGAUUGCGAAGGCAGCUUGCGGGAGCACAACUGACGCUGAAGCUCGAAAGUGCGGGUAUCGAACAGG